UCCUCCCUCAAACCCCGGGUUUGGUGUUGGACUCAAGUUGUGUGAACAACUGGUCUCAAAGACAAUGACGGCGUCCGUGGGACCCUCGGUGCAACGAGCUUUUAGGAGCACGCAUCGAGUUGCAAGGACCUUCCGGGCCGGUCUCCUUUACCAUUUUACAAGG
RNAcentral lists this unclassified non-coding RNA (163 nucleotides) under uncultured Herpotrichiellaceae. RNAcentral describes it as "sequence contains ITS2". The record is from RNAcentral. Lineage: Eukaryota; Fungi; Ascomycota; Eurotiomycetes; Chaetothyriales; Herpotrichiellaceae.